Molecule: ribosomal RNA, 253 nt
Filed under: uncultured bacterium
Lineage: Bacteria
Description: partial 16S ribosomal RNA
Rfam family: Bacterial small subunit ribosomal RNA
Source: RNAcentral
UACAGGGGGGGCAAGCGUUGUUCGGAAUUACUGGGCGUAAAGGGCUCGUAGGUGGCCAACUAAGUCAGACGUGAAAUCCCUCAGCUUAACUGGGGAACUGCGUCUGAUACUGGAUGGCUUGAGUUUGGGAGAGGGAUGCGGAAUUCCAGGUAUAGCGGUGAAAUGCGUAGAUAUCUGGAGGAACACCGGUGGCGAAGGCGGCAUCCUGGACCAACACUGACGCUGAUGAGCGAAAGCCAGGGGAGCAAACGGG